CCCGAGCAGGCCUUGUGAGCAUUACACUGGCCGGUGCCUUCUGUCUCUGAGGGGAUAAUAUGUUAGAUAAAAUCUGCUACUCAAAUGAUGCUAAUAAGGUCACAACAUCUCCAGAAGAACUCCUGCAGAGGCAAUUCCAUUGAGGAAAUGACAAACUCAGGACACAGAAAGGCUGCUGAAUCUGCCCAGCACCCCCAGCACAGAUCAGCAUCUACCAUAACCACUCACCAGAAGACAGUGCCUAUCUGCAAACAGCUAUCGGCUUAAAAACACACCCAGCGAAACAAGGGGCCCAACUGAUGCCAAGAGUACAUUAAUGUUCUGAUAAAUACUGUGAUCUGCUUCUACCUGACUGGAUACACUGCUGGGGAAAUUUCCAGUAAUCUUACUGUACUGCUGAAAAGUUGCCAGUGGAAAACAUGCCCUUAUUCUUCAGUGUUCAAAUGUAAUUAUUACAGAAAGAAUGGUAAUUAUUUUUGAAAUUGUUUGCAUUUGUGGCUUCAUGUGCAGAUGCUGUUAUGUCUGAAAUACUCAUUUAAUCAUUGUAGACCAGAUUAUCUAACUCCACUCCCAUUGCUGCCACUGCAUGCAGACUGUUGGAUUUUGGCAUCCUGAGGGCUCUUGCAGAUUGGAUACUUCAAAACCCAGAUGAGAAGAGCUAUGGGCAGACAUAAAAUGGAGUCUCUCAUAAACACCAGAAGCUCUGUCUUAUCAUCUGACAGAAAUCAGUAGGCAACAAUUUGCCCAUCAGGCAUGACAGCUCUAACCCACAUGAGGAUUACAAUUAAAAAAAAAUAAUAGUUACUCAUGCUCUUGGUGAGU
This 822-nucleotide long non-coding RNA is filed under the name Phasianus colchicus (ring-necked pheasant). RNAcentral's name for it is "lncRNA (ENSPCLG00000005777.1)". The record is from RNAcentral. Lineage: Eukaryota; Metazoa; Chordata; Aves; Galliformes; Phasianidae.